UGUCAUGUGUUGCUAAAAUAUGGGAC
Molecule: non-coding RNA, 26 nt
Filed under: Bombyx mori (domestic silkworm)
Lineage: Eukaryota; Metazoa; Arthropoda; Insecta; Lepidoptera; Bombycidae
Source: RNAcentral